RNAcentral lists this ribosomal RNA (146 nucleotides) under Clostridium botulinum. Its description in RNAcentral is "partial 16S ribosomal RNA". It matches the Rfam family "Bacterial small subunit ribosomal RNA", at positions 1399 to 1533 of the family's 1533-position model. Lineage: Bacteria; Bacillati; Bacillota; Clostridia; Eubacteriales; Clostridiaceae. The record is from RNAcentral.
ACACCAUGAGAGUUGGCAAUACCCAAAGUUCGUGAGCUAACCCGUAAGGGAGGCAGCGACCUAAGGUAGGGUCAGCGAUUGGGGUGAAGUCGUAACAAGGUAGCCGUAGGAGAACCUGCGGCUGGAUCACCUCCUUUCUAUGGAGA